CCAAUCGAACCCGGAGAUAGCUGGUUCUCCUCGAAAUAGCUUUAGGGCUAGCCUCAUGGAUCAUUGGUGGGGGUAGAGCACUGAAUGUGCGCGGGGGCCACAAAGCCUACCAAACGCUAUCAAACUACGAAUACCAUACAAUGCAGACCAUGGGAGUCAGUCCGCGAGAGAUAAGUUCCGCGGGCAAAAGGGGAACACCCCAGAUCAACCGCUAAGGUCCCCAAGUUCACGUUAAGUGGAGAAGGAUGUGGAAUUGCACAGACAACCAGGAUGUUGGCUCAGAAGCAGCCACACAUUUAAAGAGUGCGUAAUAGCUCACUGGUCGAGUGAUUGUGCGCCGAAGAUGUCCGGGGCUAAACGUGACACCGAAGCGAUGGGUGCAUCUGAAAGGAUGCGCGGUAGAGGAGCAAUGUGCAGAGGCAGAAGCCGUAUCGAGAGGCACGGUGGACACUGCACAAGAGAGAAUGCCGGUAUGAGUAGCGAGAGGCAUGCGAGAAACAUGCCCGUCGAAAGCCCAAGGUUUCCUGGGGAAGGUUCAUCCGCCCAGGGUAAGUCGGGGCCUAAGCCGAGGACGGAAGUCGUAGGCGAUGGACAGCAGGUGUAGAUUCCUGCACUACCGAUGGAAUGAAGCAGUGACACAGAAGGAUAACUCGAGCAGGGUGAUGGUCAACCCUGUGCAAGCAUCAAGGUUGGGUUGUAGUGAAGUACGCAAUCCUAUAAGCUGAGGUGUGAUGCGGACCGAAAUUUUAGUAGGGAAGCGAGUGAGUUCACGCUGGCGAGAAAAGCUGCUAGUACAUCCAAAGGUACCCGUACCGGAAACCGACGCAGGUGGGCGAGGAGAGAAUCCUGAGACGAACGGGAGAACCCUUGUUAAGGAACUCGGCAAAAUGACCCCGUAACUUCGGGAUAAGGGGUGCCUGCGAGAGCAGGCCGCAGAGAAUAGUCACAAGCGACUGUUUAGCAAAAACACAGGUAUCUGCGAAAGCGAGAGCUGACGUAUAGGUGCUGACACCUGCCCGGUGCUGGAAGGUUAAGGGAACAUGUUAGAGCAAUCGAAGCAUCGAACCGAAGCCCCAGUAAACGGCGGCCGUAACUAUAACGGUCCUAAGGUAGCGAAAUUCCUUGUCGGGUAAGUUCCGACCCGCACGAAUGGUGUAACGACUUGUGAGCUGUCUCAACAGGGGGCCCGGUGAAAUUGAAGUAUGGGUGAAGAUGCCCAUUACCCGCGACUGGACGGAAAGACCCCGUAGAGCUUUACUGCAGCCUGAUAUUGAGUUUCGGUAACUGAUGCACAGGAUAGGUGGGAGUCUGAGAGACAUGGGUUUCGGCUCGUGUGGAGACGCUGUUGGGAUACCACUCUUCGGUUACUGAAAUUCUAACAUAGCUCUGUGAAACCAGAGGAUGGACAGUGUCAGGUGGACAGUUUGACUGGGGCGGUCGCCUCCGAAAGAGUAACGGAGGCGCCCAAAGGUACCCUCAGAAUGGAUGGAAACCAUUCGAAGAGCGCAAAGGCAGAAGGGUGCCUGACUGCGAGAUUGACAAAUCGAGCAGAGACGAAAGUCGGGCUUAGUGAUCCGGCGGUAUUGAGUGGAAAAGCCGUCGCUUAACGGAUAAAAGCUACCUCGGGGAUAACAGGCUGAUCUCCCCCAAGAGUCCACAUCGACGGGGAGGUUUGGCACCUCGAUGUCGGCUCAUCGCAUCCUGGGGCUGUAUUCGGUCCCAAGGGUUUGGCUGUUCGCCAAUUAAAGCGGCACGCGAGCUGGGUUCAGAACGUCGUGAGACAGUUCGGUCCCUAUCCAUCGUGGGCGUAGGAGUCAUGAGAGGAGCUGUUCCUAGUACGAGAGGACCGGAAUGGACGCACCACUGGUGCAACUGUUGUCGUGCCAACGGCAUAGCAGGGAAGCGAAGUGCGGAUGGGAUAAACGCUGAAGGCAUCUAAGCGUGAAGCCCACCUCAAGAAUAAGACUCCACAAUAGACCCCUGGAGGACUACCAGGUAGAUAGGUCAUCGGUGGAAGCGCUGUAAGGCGUGUAGCUUGAUGAUACUAAUCGGUCGAAAGCUUCAUUUA
RNAcentral lists this ribosomal RNA (2068 nucleotides) under human gut metagenome. RNAcentral describes it as "bacterial LSU rRNA". It matches the Rfam family "Bacterial large subunit ribosomal RNA", at positions 829 to 2925 of the family's 2925-position model. The record is from RNAcentral.